CCUACGGGUGGCAGCAGUGAGGAAUAUUGGUCAAUGGACGAGAGUCUGAACCAGCCAAGUAGCGUGAAGGAUGACUGCCCUAUGGGUUGUAAACUUCUUUUAUAUGGGAAUAAAACAGGGUAUGCAUACCCUCUGGUAUGUACCAUAUGAAUAAGGAUCGGCGAACUCCGUGCCAGCAGCCGAGGUAAUACGGAGGAUCCGAGCGUUUUCCGGAUUUAUUGGGUUUAAAGGGAGCGUAGGUGGAUUGUUAAGUCAGUUGUGAAGGUUUGCGGCUCAACCGUAAAAUUGCAGUUGAAACUGGCAGUCUUGAGUACAGUAGAGGUGGGCGGAAUUCGUGGUGUAGCGGUGAAAUGCUUAGAUAUCACGAAGAACUCCGAUUGCGAAGGCAGCUCACUGGACUGCAACUGACACUGAUGCUCGAAAGUGUGGGUAUCAAACAGGAUUAGAUACCCCAGUAGUC
This 460-nucleotide ribosomal RNA is filed under the name uncultured bacterium. RNAcentral's name for it is "partial 16S ribosomal RNA". It matches the Rfam family "Bacterial small subunit ribosomal RNA", at positions 338 to 795 of the family's 1533-position model. The record is from RNAcentral.